GAUGAACGCUGGCGGCGUGCCUAAUACAUGCAAGUCGAGCGAACAGACGAGGAGCUUGCUCCUCUGACGUUAGCGGCGGACGGGUGAGUAACACGUGGAUAACCUACCUAUAAGACUGGGAUAACUUCGGGAAACCGGAGCUAAUACCGGAUAAUAUAUUGAACCGCAUGGUUCAAUAGUGAAAGACGGUUUUGCUGUCACUUAUAGAUGGAUCCGCGCCGCAUUAGCUAGUUGGUAAGGUAACGGCUUACCAAGGCAACGAUGCGUAGCCGACCUGAGAGGGUGAUCGGCCACACUGGAACUGAGACACGGUCCCGACUCCUACGGGAGGCAGCAGUAGGGAAUCUUCCGCAAUGGGCGAAAGCCUGACGGAGCAACGCCGCGUGAGUGAUGAAGGUCUUCGGAUCGUAAAACUCUGUCAUUAGGGAAGAACAAAUGUGUAAGUAACUAUGCACGUCUUGACGGUACCUAAUCAGAAAGCCACGGCUAACUACGUG
Molecule: ribosomal RNA, 497 nt
Filed under: uncultured bacterium
Lineage: Bacteria
Description: partial 16S ribosomal RNA
Rfam family: Bacterial small subunit ribosomal RNA
Source: RNAcentral